Nannospalax galili (Upper Galilee mountains blind mole rat) is the source of this 382-nucleotide long non-coding RNA. RefSeq lists it as uncharacterized. The transcript has 3 exons. The record is from RefSeq and is a predicted model, not a curated record. Lineage: Eukaryota; Metazoa; Chordata; Mammalia; Rodentia; Spalacidae.
AAAGGCUUGAGUUGUCUGUUGAAAACAUCAUCCGAGAUUGGCUUGAGAGUUCCGGAAUACCUGAGCUUCGGGAAAUGCUGCCUGUGUCAUCUCAGCAGCCCAAGCUCCUCAGCACUGUGUCUCCUGCCCGUGGGAACUCAUUCUCAUAAAGCAUGUGGGCCUCCAACAUUUUUGUCAAGCAUGUAACCUGCCUAUAUGUCCGAUUUGCAUUCUCCCUGCCAGCUAAGUACCUUUCCUCUGGUUUUGAUUUCAAAAGAGAUAUUUGGUUGGUUAACAUAGUCUGGUGUGAUGCUUUUAUAGUGUCAUUAUUCUUUUGAAAAUAUUUUAAUAUUUUGUUUAUGAGCAUUUUGCCUGCGUGCACCACAUGUGUGCAGUGACCACA